Molecule: ribosomal RNA, 497 nt
Filed under: uncultured bacterium
Lineage: Bacteria
Description: partial 16S ribosomal RNA
Rfam family: Bacterial small subunit ribosomal RNA
Source: RNAcentral
GAUGAACGCUGGCGGCGUGCCUAAUACAUGCAAGUCGAGCGAACGGACGAGAAGCUUGCUUCUCUGAUGUUAGCGGCGGACGGGUGAGUAACACGUGGAUAACCUACCUAUAAGACUGGGAUAACUUCGGGAAACCGGAGCUAAUACCGGAUAAUAUUUUGAACCGCAUGGUUCAAAAGUGAAAGACGGUCUUGCUGUCACUUAUAGAUGGAUCCGCGCUGCAUUAGCUAGUUGGUAAGGUAACGGCUUACCAAGGCAACGAUGCAUAGCCGACCUGAGAGGGUGAUCGGCCACACUGGAACUGAGACACGGUCCAGACUCCUACGGGAGGCAGCAGUAGGGAAUCUUCCGCAAAGGGCGAAAGCCUGACGGAGCAACGCCGCGUGAGUGAUGAAGGUCUUCGGAUCGUAAAACUCUGUUAUUAGGGAAGAACAUAUGUGUAAGUAACUGUGUACAUCUUGACGGUACCUAAUCAGAAAGCCACGGCUAACUACGUG